CGUAAACAAAGGGAAGCGAGCCUGUGAAGGGGAGCAAAUCCCAAAAAUAACGUCCCAGUUCGGAUUGUAGUCUGCAACCCGACUACAUGAAGCUGGAAUCGCUAGUAAUCGCGGAUCAGAAUGCCGCGGUGAAUACGUUCCCGGGUCUUGUACACACCGCCCGUCACACCAUGGGAGUCGGAAAUGCCCGAAGCCGGUGACCCAACCAAAAGGAGGGAGCCGUCGAAGGCAGGUCUGAUAACUGGGGUGAAGUCGUAACAAGGUAUC
Molecule: ribosomal RNA, 267 nt
Filed under: uncultured bacterium
Lineage: Bacteria
Description: partial 16S ribosomal RNA
Rfam family: Bacterial small subunit ribosomal RNA
Source: RNAcentral